AUCUUCAUCAUCCAAAUCAGCUAAGGUUAAGUUGGCAAAGCCUUGAGCCAUGGAGAGAAAGGGGGGAAAAGACGGCAAGAAAAGGGUAGAGAAAGAAACCCUAGGGCACCAAAGUAUCGGAGAGAGAAAUCAUGAACUUUAGGUAGGUUGAUUACAUUUAUUAAAAGU
Long non-coding RNA from Ipomoea nil (Japanese morning glory), 168 nucleotides. RefSeq lists it as uncharacterized. NCBI's taxonomy places the organism in Eukaryota, Viridiplantae, Streptophyta, Magnoliopsida, Solanales, Convolvulaceae. The transcript has 3 exons. The record is from RefSeq and is a predicted model, not a curated record.